Molecule: non-coding RNA, 2358 nt
Organism: Poecilia reticulata (guppy)
Lineage: Eukaryota; Metazoa; Chordata; Actinopteri; Cyprinodontiformes; Poeciliidae
Source: RefSeq, a predicted model, not a curated record
CUGACUGUAUUCAUUAAUACAGUGGUGCAAAAUAUCAGUAAGUCUGUCUACUGUGUGUAUAAAUUUCAAUACUGUUGUACUAUUUUAAUGAACAAUGCUGCAGAUAAUACAUGUUUUUGUUGGACUUUUGAUUCUGUGCAUCAGAAUUUCAGGAAUUUCUUGCAGAGUUUAAUUCCACUAAGCAAACUAAGAAAGAGGAAAUGGAUAAACCUUUAAAGUUUUUUAGUAAACACAUUCAAGUUAAAGGUUUCUGAGUGAAAAAAUGGGCCUUAGAGACAUUUAAAGAAACAGGCACUGAUUAUUUCAACUUCUUCAACUUUACAAUGUGUCAGUAGUGAACAAUAUUUUAAUGCCAUGAUAUCAUUUUCAUCUGGUUGGUCAUUUUAAACUAAUAACGCAUUGUGACGUAGAUUUAACACGUUAUUGGAGUGCAGUUGAGUGGGAAGUACAGAAACUUAAAGUUAAAAGUACCCCAUGGUCAAAUGUACUGUAACAAAGUUCAAAUACAUGAAAAGUGUACUUCAGUACAGAAACAAAGUGCUUGUACUUUCCUACAUCCCACAAGAUGGCGCAAAAAUAUAAGAUAUCAGGUGUACAGUACACCUGAUAUCACUGUAUAUAUGUACUGUAAGCCUGGAGGGCAACAGGCUUUAUUUGUACCCCCGCCAGGCUUAGCAAUGCUUAUUUAUUCAAGGAUUUUUAAAAUGUUUGCAUUUUUAGGGCUUUAUAGUUGGUAUUCAAAUAUUAAUCUUCCAAUAUUUCAAUAACGCAUAAUUAUCAAGUGAUAUUUUCAAGUUUCAACUUUAAACAUUUUUUAACUCAAAUGCACGACGGGCCACUGGACGAAUGACUGCCCUAGAACCCAACCACCGGGCUCAGCGAGUUUUCUGGGGGAAGCCUUGGAUAUGUUAGCUUUGUAAAUAUGACAGGAACUAAAUUGUGAUUAAAAUAAAUAUCUUCAAGACGGUUAUAUGUCCAGAAAAUAUGAGUCACUUCUAUCCAAAUCCUUCUCGGUUUCUUUUCUCUCAUUGAAAGUCGGAUAAGUGUUGAGGUUCAGUUAAUUCCUUAACGAGGAGCUAAUCAAUCAGAGGAGGACAUGUUUGAAAGGUCCUUCUGCUUGUAAAGGCUUCUGAUUAAGGGAAAUGACUCACAGCUAGUUAGGCGAGAAUCUGGCGCAAUUUUCUGGAAGUUAGAAAAAAUAGUUUCUGUGCGUGUUUGAAUGAAAUUAGAAAAUGACGUCAGAGCUUCUUUCAGCCAAAACAUUCAAAAUGAGGCUCAGGUAUUUUUAUACAACAGAAUAGAAAAAUCUGCUAAUUCUGGCAAAAAGAGCUCAGAAAAAUAUUUAAAAAGGAUAAACUUCCUUAACAGCUGGAGAUCUGUAAGAUAUGAUGUUAAAAUGCUGAAGCUUCUUUUGGAGGGAAACUGUAUAGCAUCCCAAAUAUUCAGAAUAUUACCAAAAAGUUUUUUUUUUUUUAUUCAUUUUAUAAAGUGAAACUCUUCAACACAUGGAGCACAAACAUUUACUUAUAUCAGGUUUGAUGAUUGUGGCUCACAGCGGAUGAAAACUCAAAACUCAGUUUCUUGAGAAUUUAAAAAAUGUAAUUUAUUCCAAUAAUUAAGUUUAUUUUCCUUGGGAGUCUGCCCCGAAUGUAUAAAUACAUUUUGUUGUACAAUACUCCUUCUUGGUUAUUUGUGUACUUCUUUUGAUCAUAUUUUUUCCUUCCACUCAACUUUAAAUUAAUAUGCUUGGAUACAUACAGAACUACGUGUGUUGGGAUGGUGCUUUUGGGGGUUUGUUUUUCUUUCAUCCACCAGAGGUCGCCCUGAGGUUGUUUUGCAGAGCGUGUUUUCCUCUGCCGUUGAUUACCUGCUCACCUGCGAGUUAUCAUCUUCAAGAGGAGGUUCAGCCAGCACUUCGACGCCACAGUGAACUUGCUCUGUGUCGUGUGGUUCUUCCACUUGAAGCCUCUGUGUUCCUGGAAGUUUCUUCCCUGUGAAAGUUUCCCUUGUGACGCCAGUGGAUGUUACCCGCCGGAUGCCCAGGAUUUACUCACCUUCUCGCUGCCUUCUACUCCUCUGGAUUUCCACGUUGGCUGACCUCCUUGCUCUGAACCUCAGUGAGCCGCAGAACUUACCUGUCCGCCAUCCAAUGCUAAUAACAUCCGCAGAACCUCAGUUGGACCUCAGUUGGAAGCCUCUAUCAGGAUCACCACCCAGGAACCCACCAAGCUCCCCUCCGUACCGUUUGCUGCAAAUCAAACCUGAACAACCCGAUUGCUGUUUUCCCCUGGAGACCAAGUCUGAACAUAAUUUAUUUAUUUUUUUCCCUUUUCACUGUAAAUAAAUUCUUAUCACUGA